RNAcentral lists this transfer RNA (73 nucleotides) under Chlorobiota bacterium. RNAcentral describes it as "Chlorobi bacterium tRNA-Thr". It matches the Rfam family "tRNA". From Rfam's summary of the family: Transfer RNA (tRNA) molecules are approximately 80 nucleotides in length. Their secondary structure includes four short double-helical elements and three loops (D, anti-codon, and T loops). RNAcentral also lists the same sequence under 1 other name. The record is from RNAcentral. Lineage: Bacteria; Pseudomonadati; Chlorobiota.
GCCAUUAUAGCUUAGUUGGUAGAGCAACUCAUUCGUAAUGAGUAGGUCAUCGGUUCGAUUCCGAUUAAUGGCU